UACAGAGGUCUCAAGCGUUGUUCGGAUUCAUUGGGCGUAAAGGGUGUGUAGGUGGCGCGCUAAGUCGGGUGUGAAAUUUCGGAGCUUAACUCCGAAACUGCAUUCGAUACUGGCGUGCUUGAGGACUGGAAAGGAGACUGGAAUUUACGGUGUAGCAGUGAAAUGCGUAGAUAUCGUAAGGAAGACCAGUGGCGAAGGCGGGUCUCUGGACAGUUCCUGACACUGAGACACGAAGGCCAGGGGAGCAAACGGG
This 253-nucleotide ribosomal RNA is filed under the name uncultured bacterium. Its description in RNAcentral is "partial 16S ribosomal RNA". It matches the Rfam family "Bacterial small subunit ribosomal RNA", at positions 524 to 776 of the family's 1533-position model. The record is from RNAcentral.